Molecule: ribosomal RNA, 449 nt
Filed under: uncultured bacterium
Lineage: Bacteria
Description: partial 16S ribosomal RNA
Rfam family: Bacterial small subunit ribosomal RNA
Source: RNAcentral
AACGAACGCUGGCGGCAUGCCUAACACAUGCAAGUCGAACGAGACCUUCGGGUCUAGUGGCGCGCGGGUGCGUAACGCGUGGGAAUCUGCCCUUGGGUUCGGGAUAACAGUUGGAAACGACUGCUAAUACCGGAUGACGUCUUCGGACCAAAGAUUUAUCGCCCAGGGAUGAGCCCGCGUCGGAUUAGCUAGUUGGUAGGGUAAAAGCCUACCAAGGUGACGAUCCGUAGCUGGUCUGAGAGGAUGAUCAGCCACACUGGGACUGAGACACGGCCCAGACUCCUACGGGAGGCAGCAGUGGGGAAUAUUGGACAACGGGCGAAAGCCUGAUCCAGCAAUGCCGCGUGAGUGAUGAAGGCCUUAGGGUUGUAAAGCUCUUUUACCCGGGAUGAUAAUGACAGUACCGGGAGAAUAAGCCCCGGCUAACUCCGUGCCAGCCGCCGCGGUAA